AUUGAACGCUGGCGGCAGGCCUAACACAUGCAAGUCGAACGGUAACAGGAAGAAGCUUGCUUCUUUGCUGACGAGUGGCGGACGGGUGAGUAAUGUCUGGGAAACUGCCUGAUGGAGGGGGAUAACUACUGGAAACGGUAGCUAAUACCUCAUAACGUCGCAAGACCAAAGAGGGGGACCUUCGUGCCUCUUGCCAUCGGAUGUGCCCAGAUGGUAUUAGCUAGUAGGUGGGGUAACGGCUCACCUAGGCGACGAUCCCUAGCUGGUCUGAGAGGAUGACCAGCCACACUGGAACUGAGACACGGUCCAGACUCCUACGGGAGGCAGCAGUGGGGAAUAUUGCACAAUGGGCGCAAGCCUGAUGCAGCCAUGCCGCGUGUAUGAAGAAGGCCUUCGGGUUGUAAAGUACUUUCAGCGGGGAGGAAGGGAGUAAAGUUAAUACCUUUGCUCAUUGACGUUACCCGCAGAAGAAGCACCGGCUAACUCCGUG
RNAcentral lists this ribosomal RNA (490 nucleotides) under uncultured bacterium. Its description in RNAcentral is "partial 16S ribosomal RNA". It matches the Rfam family "Bacterial small subunit ribosomal RNA", at positions 30 to 507 of the family's 1533-position model. The record is from RNAcentral.